GGAGGGUCGUUUGGCUGGGAACAUUCCUCCUUAUGGAUCUCCAGGGUUGAUGAGGCUGAUCUGUCUGGCUAGGCAAGAGUCCCCUUCUUAUCUCAUCACUCCAUGUGCAACCCUCUUGCGGCUGUAAGCUGGCCAACCUUCCCAGAGAGAAGGAAGACCAUUCUUUGGCCAACUGCCUGCACGUACCUGCAUCCCCCUACUAGAACUUGCAAACAACCUCUCAGAAGCAUCCUCUGGUGGAGCUGCAGGGAGAGAAAGGGAGCAGCCCACUAGGGGCUGGUUUGGGACCUCCACCCAGU
Molecule: non-coding RNA, 299 nt
Organism: Mesocricetus auratus (golden hamster)
Lineage: Eukaryota; Metazoa; Chordata; Mammalia; Rodentia; Cricetidae
Source: Rfam